Molecule: ribosomal RNA, 294 nt
Filed under: Bradycalanus sarsi
Lineage: Eukaryota; Metazoa; Arthropoda; Copepoda; Calanoida; Megacalanidae
Description: partial 28S ribosomal RNA
Rfam family: Eukaryotic large subunit ribosomal RNA
Source: RNAcentral
CCAAGGAGUCUAACAUGUAUGCGAGCCAUUGGGUUGACUAAACCUAGAGGCGCAGUGAAAGCAAAGAGUAGCUUGUCUGCUCGAGGGACGAUCCGCAAGGCGCAGUCCCGCGACUUCCAAUCGACCUUGCAUCGUUGGGAGUACGUAGAGCAUAAAUGUUGGGACCCGAAAGAUGGUGAACUAUGCCUGGCCAGGUUGAAGUCAGGGGAAACCCUGAUGGAGGACCGUAGCGAUUCUGACGUGCAAAUCGAUCGUCGGAGCUGGGUAUAGGGGCGAAAGACUAAUCGAACCAUC